GAUGAACGCUAGCGGCAGGCUUAACACAUGCAAGUCGAGGGGCAGCGCGGGUAGCAAUACCUGGCGGCGACCGGCAAACGGGUGCGGAACACGUACAGAACCUACCUUUGUCUGGGGCAUAGCCCGGAGAAAUCCGGAUUAACUCCCCAUAAUAUAUUUGAGUGGCAUCACUUGGAUAUUAAAAAUUUAUUGGACAGAGAUGGCUGUGCGUCCCAUUAGCUAGUUGGUAGGGUAACGGCCUACCAAGGCAACGAUGGGUAGCUGGUGUGAGAGCACGACCAGCCACACGGGCACUGAGACACGGGCCCGACUCCUACGGGAGGCAGCAGUGAGGAAUAUUGGUCAAUGGACGCAAGUCUGAACCAGCCAUGCCGCGUGAAGGAUGAA
Molecule: ribosomal RNA, 387 nt
Filed under: uncultured bacterium
Lineage: Bacteria
Description: bacterial SSU rRNA
Rfam family: Bacterial small subunit ribosomal RNA
Source: RNAcentral